GGCGAACGGGUGCGUAACACGUGAGCAACUGCCCCGAAGACCGGGACAAGCCGGGGAAACCUGGUCUAAUACCGGAUGCCCUCACCGGGUCGCAUGGUCUGGUGAGGAAAUGGAUUCCGCUUCGGGAUGGGCUCGCGGUCUAUCAGCUUGUUGGUGGGGUAACGGCCUACCAAGGCGACGACGGAUAGCUGGUCUGAGAGGACGAUCAGCCACACUGGGACUGAGACACGGCCCAGACUCCAUACGGGAGGCAGCAGUGGGGAAUCUUGCGCAAUGGGGGAAACCCUGACGCAGCGACGCCGCGUGCGGGACGAAGGCCUUCGGGUUGUAAACCGCUUUCAGCAGGGACGAAAUUGACGGUACCUGCAGAAGAAGGCCCGGCCAACUACGUGCCAGCCGCCGCGG
RNAcentral lists this ribosomal RNA (405 nucleotides) under uncultured bacterium. RNAcentral's name for it is "bacterial SSU rRNA". It matches the Rfam family "Bacterial small subunit ribosomal RNA", at positions 97 to 520 of the family's 1533-position model. The record is from RNAcentral.